Long non-coding RNA from Homo sapiens (human), 3233 nucleotides. The record is from Ensembl. Lineage: Eukaryota; Metazoa; Chordata; Mammalia; Primates; Hominidae.
CACGUGGCUGUGCCACGCUGCUGAGUUGAGUGUGUGCACAAGCACACCAGUGCACUGGGGCCUGUGUAGAGGCCUUUAGGAAACCAUAUUUUUGAAGUCUUUAAAAAAUAAUGAAGAGUAAAUGUUCUGUUAUAUAUUCCCAAACAUUCACAUGUAUUUGACUUGUUUUUUCCAUGUAAAUUUUGUAUCUUCAGAACGCUUUAAUGCAAUGUUUUCUACCUUUACUUCUCCAGAUUAUUCACCUUAAGUGAUUUCAGUUUGUAAAUGAUCAGUGGAUAAAAUCACAGAAAAUUGUCAAAUUUCCUCGGGAAAGUUUUGACCUGAGUGCUUUUUUGGUACCACGAGACCCGGCUCUCUGCCAGCAUCAACCACUCACACCCCAGGGGGAUGAGCUCUCCAAGCCCAGGAUUCUGGCAAGAGAGGUGAAGAAAGUGGAUGUGCAGAGUUUGGCUGGGGAAUAGGACAUGCUCCUGAGCAAAAGCCCAUCCUCACUCAGCGCUAACAUCAGCAGCAGCCCAAAAGGUUCUCCUUCUUCAUCAAGAAAAAGUGGAACCAGCUGUCCCUCCAGCAAAAACAGCAGCCCUAAUAGCAGCCCACGGACUUUGGGGAGGAGCAAAGGGAGGCUCUGGCUGCCCCAGAUUGGCAGCAAAAAUAAACUGUCAAGUAGUAAGAAGAACUUGGAUGCCAGCAAAGAGAAUGGGGCUGGGCAGAUCUGUGAGCUGGCUGACGCCUUGAGCCGAGGGCAUAUGCGGGGGGUGGGCAGCCAACCAGAGCUGGUCACUCCUCAGGACCAUGAGGUAGCUUUGGCCAAUGGAUUCCUUUAUGAGCAUGAAGCAUAUGGCAAUGGCUAUAGCAAUGGUCAGCUUGGAAACCACAGUGAAGAAGACAGCACUGAUGACCAAAGAGAAGACACUCAUAUUAAGCCUAUUUAUAUGCAAUUUCAUGCCAUUCAGGAAUUCUGAGUGGGGGCCAUUACGUCACUUAUGCCAAAAACCCAAACUGCAAGUGGUACUGCUACAAUGGCAGCAUCUGUGAGGAACGUCACCCUGAUGAAAUUGACACCAACUCUGCCUACAUUCUUUUCUAUGAGCAGCAGAGGAUAGACUACGCACAAUUUCUGCCAAAGAUUGAUGGCAAAAAGAUGGCAGACACAAGCAGUAUGGAUGAAGACUUUGAGUCUGAUUACAAAAAGUACUGUGUGUUACAGCAAAGCUACCACUCUGGCUGCUAGACAGCUUGGUGGGGAGGGAGAUGACUCCUUGUAGCUGAUACUUGGCAAAGAUGUCACUGAGAGGCAAGCUAAAUGUAGUUAUUUUAUCCUGUUAGAAUACAAAUUCUAAUUAAAAUAGUUAACUUUAAGAGUAGUAGUAAUUUUAUUUUGAAGUCUCAUGCAAGUUGUCUGAUAGAGAACUUUCAGGCAGAUCCCACCAUUAGCCUGUAAACAAAAGGUUUGGCACCAGCCACCUGGGACCAAAUAAGAAUUCAAUUGUGCUUGUCCAGAUAUGAACAAAUAUGUAGUGAGUAUAGAGUUUAUCAAUAAUCAUAACAAAUAUUAAAGAUUUCCUUGGAGUCAAAGUAAAAAACAAAAAAUUAUAAUGUUGUCUAGGGAUGACAUGAUAUGCUACCUCCUUUUUCCUGAAGUUUUAUUCCAUUCUGUUGACAAGAUGGAGAAAGCAAGAUCAUGAAGGUGUGCAAAUGAUUCUUACGGCAUGGGCGAGGAUUUUUCAAUUUAUUUUUUAAAGUUUCCAUACCCUUUCUUUGUCUUUCUUGCUUUUUGUUUUUGCCUUUGUGUUUAUGUUUGAGAUACAACCAGUCAUUGGUGGCAGGGGCAUAGAGUGGUCAGUCUGAAAGGGAGGCUCUCUUAAGAGCUAUGUGCCUUCCACCCAGAGGGAGACCCAGUAGAAAGAAAAACAUCCUGGGAAAUCCAGCUACCAUGGCCCUCCCAGUGGAGGCAUCUUACAUUUAGGAUACUUCAAGUAUCCUCAGAAAUGUAUUCUGCACCCCCGGCCCCGCCCAUGCUGAGGGAAGGGGAGCAGUUGCCAAUAUUUGCACCAUCUUCACAUGCACAUGUUGCAACAAGAGCUUCUGGGAAGGUAAGCAGCAUCGGAGCUAGAUCACGUUUCACAAUUAGUGGUUGUUCUUUUCCGUGUUUAUUUUGCACUUUAAAAAAGAGAGAACGCAUGCAAAUGAACUUGCUUGUGUGUAUUUGAUGGCUCUAAGGGCUAUAAAUUACAAACAAAACACAUCCCAGACAUUAGGAGUUCAUAAGUAUAUUUAAUGAAAUUGGUGGUUUUAGGAAGUCAACUUUAGUUUUGCUUUGUUUGCAUGUCCACUAAUUUUUUUAUUUUGAUAUUAGUCUUUUUUAAAAAAUUUUACAGUAGUCAUUGAAAGUUAUGUUUCUUUGUUUACUUCAUUUUUUCCUCUAAUUAUUCAAGACUGGCACAAAAGUAUAAAUAUUAUUUAUUUCAGGUAGAAUUUUUUUCGUGUAGUUUUUUAAUAUAUACUUGAAGGAAAUGUUUCACCUUAUUUUUGGUCUUUGUUUAUUCAUUUAGACCCUGCAAGUUGAUUCUCAUUAAUUGUCAGAUUCCACUACACUUUCUUCCUCAUAGGUAGUAAUUACCAGUGUAACUAAGCAUUUGUGUUCUGAUAUCUGAGGCCAGUAACUAUUAAUGUCUAGUUCUCAGAGCAUUUGGAAAGGUUAUCUUAAAUGGCUACCUAAAUUGAAAUCCUUUUCAGAAAAAAUAUAAUUGCAAAUAGGUAGGAGUGGCCUAAAUUAUCUAAUGUAAUAAAGUCAGACAAAAUGCAUACUUUAUAGUUUCAAGAUUUUCAGUACAUAAAAUCUGUCCUUUCCUACCUGGACAUGUCCCAUUAAAAAGUGGGAGAUUUUAAAUAAUUUCUUUACAGAUGUUUUAUUUAAGCAGGUAGCACAAUCUACUAAUGUUGUUUGAUCUGUGUUUGUUAUACUGGUUGUAAUUAAUUUUUUUAAUUCAUGAACUAGCGGAAAAUUUAUUAAAUUAACUAUUAACCACAUUCACCUUGUAAAUGACUGUAUAAAACUUGUUGACAAUGCACUGACUUUAGAAAGAUGUUAAUGUGCAUAAAUAGAGUGUAAAUAAAAUAGUGUUGAUGUACUGAAAUAUGAACUGUAUAAAAAGUAUUGGUAAUUGUAUAUGGGGUGUACCUAUUUAUCUGUAACUAUUAUCCAAACAAAUUAAAUACUGUGGAUGCCUCUA